Long non-coding RNA from Falco peregrinus (peregrine falcon), 8001 nucleotides. RefSeq lists it as uncharacterized. The record is from RefSeq and is a predicted model, not a curated record. Lineage: Eukaryota; Metazoa; Chordata; Aves; Falconiformes; Falconidae. The transcript has 2 exons.
CUUUGAGAAAGAGAAAUUAAACAGAAACUAAAGGUUAGAAGCCAUGCACCUGCAUACAUUGCUGUUCUUGACUGUGGACUAUUCAAUGAAUUCUUCUCACCGCUCAUUAUGUUCCCCAUCUCUAGAGCUUCUUGGAGAGAACAUUUCCUCUGACUACUUCACAACGUAAUCCCAAAGGAUGGCUGCGCUUCCCAGGGAAGAGAAAUUCCCAGAUGCGACUAGAACAGAGAAAGCUAAACAAGGCGUUGUGGGUCCAGAGUCUCAGCAGUGCUUGUCAGAACUUCAGAGUGUGCAGACAGAUUCAAACUGCCCAUACCCUUUGGGCUUUGGGGAUGACCAAACAUCUUUGAGUCUUCCACAGCCAAGAGAGGCCGUCUGAGCAUCUAACAGCACAAAAUCAGCCGUAACAUUGGGUUACUCAGCCAUGGCCUCUUUUAGUGGAGAGCAGAAUAUCGAGGGAUUGCCUGGGGAUUUUUCUCAGCAAUAACAUAAAAACCCCCAAACCCCAACCUCCAAUGUUAUUGAGAAACCACAACUGUAAAAGUAGUUUGGGUAACACUUAAAUUUGUGUUCCCGACUUUCACUGUCAGCCUUGCGCUGUAGCAGCCUAGCAUUCUGUAGCGAAGAGCACAGACAUGCAAUCAAAAGCUGUACAGAGCCAAAUUAUUCCACUUUAUCCGUACCUUUUAAAAGGCUCAGCCUGAAUUCUUCAACAAAUCAGACACUUGUUCUCAUUCUAUGCACCAACCUAAACAAAUCUGUGAGGAUUUCAUGCUUUUUCUACUUUUUUUUUUUCUAUCUAUAUGUUUAUGUCAAGUUUAUCACAGUAGUUUCUAAGCAUCUAUGCUUAAUUUUGUAACCAGCACUAUAGGAUGAUCAACAACACAUUCUCUUAAUUUUAGAUCUGAUUAUCCAGCACCCAUCAUUUUCUCCUGAAGUGUUAUCCACAAAGAAAUUUAAAAGUAGGAAUUAAUAUGGUCUCAAAUUAAUUUCCCUAACCAACCAGAUGGCCUAAUUAUUGGCACCAAAAGAGCCAAGAUGGAAGAGUCCUUGUACCAAAUUCAAAAGCCUAUGGCAUAUAGCAUCCCUUAUUUAUUUUUUAAGUCUUAGUGGAACUCCGAGCAUUAAAAAAACAUGUGGAGAAAGUUCUUUUUAAAUCACAAUACUAUUUCUGCUCUCUUCCAAAAUGCAAUGUAUUAAAUAAAAAAAUAAUUUUCAAAAUCAGCUGGUUUAUAUGAAGCGAAUACAAUAGAACCAACCUACAGAUUUUUUCCAAUGCAAGUUUUAAGUGGACAAUUAAUGAAAAAAGGUAAUGUAAAUACCACUCCAGUGCCCCUUUCCAUCUGUGACUCACACUUUUAUGCAGAUGCUUAUGAACUUCACAUCUCGACAUCCUGUAAAGCCUGCAGGUAUUCUUCCUAUUCUAUAGAUCUGAAGAGUCAAAUUAUGGUUUUCUCAAACCCCCCAUCCCCCCUCCCCUUUUUUUUUUUUUUGUUGGUUGGCCUUUUUUGGUAAAAUUAAAUAAGACUUUAAAUAAGAAAGGUUUGAUGUUUAUGUAAGUAAUGAGGAUUUUUGACAUUUUUUAUAGCCUUCCAGCCCUCUGCAGUCCAGCCAAACCAUAACAAAAUCUUCCAGUUAACACCAACACAGAUGCACCAUCUUUCAUGAGUAGCACUGUAAAACUACAAAUUAAGUAGAAGUACAAAAUUAAAAACAUCAGUUAAACAUAUUACCUGCAACUUUAUGUUUUUCAUCUAAUGGCUUUGAAAUCACCAAUAUUUGUUUUAAUCUCUGAUUUUCCAGCAGGUUAAAGCACAGCAAUACAAAAGGAUUCCAGCUAAUUUUACUCAGUUAUAAUAGCACUGUCUUAAUUUAAGUGAAAAGACUUCUCCCGGCUGGGGUAAGGUAGCCUUCUCUACCUUUUCUUCUUGCUUCUUAAUCGUUUUGCUCUUCCUGACUCUGACCAGAUCCUACCAAGAGUAAGCAGGAAUGGUGGCCUGCUGCUCAAUGGCUGGUGUAAUGUAACUGCUCUGAUGCAGUUUUCGCUUCUCAGUGCAAAGCAAAACCACUUUCUCAGUUUCUGCAUCCUUGACUUCUGGAUAAUAUACCUCAGCAUGCUGGGAGGUUUGAUUAACAUGUAAAGCCUUGAGACUCUUUACCAAAGGCAGCAGUGCAGAGUAGUGUUUUCCAAAUUGCAUUGCAGGUGAAAGCUCAUAAGAUUUGCUAUAAAGCUACCUGAUCAUCAAAAGCAACAGCUCCCAUUGGCUUUAGUGGAUUUAGCUGUAGCCCUGAAUGAGCACAAUCUCAUUUAUUUAACAUCCUUUGUUCAUGGCACCGUUGUUUUUCUCUCUGGCUAGUGAUUUUCUCUGCUGCUUCUUUUCUGAUACGUUCCAUAGCAGGAACAUUUUCACAGAGAUAAAAGUUGUUAUCUUGCCAAAUUGAAACAUUCAAAGGAAGUAAUCAUUUAUGACCAUAACCCGUGAGCAAACAUUUCAUGAUUCCUAGGUCAUCUGCAUUUGGGUUAACCUCGAAAAGCUCAGCUAAACUUUCUUGUGCUUAUAAAGUUGCACAGAAUUUUCAUGUUAGGACACAGUACCAUACUUUUCACUUCGUGGUUUGUCUUAUUCAGAAACAGAGGAUAUUGCUUAGAUCUUGCAAAGUUCAUCUGAGUGUUUCAAGGAUCUAUACAGUUAUAUUCAACAGAGUUAAACAUUUCCCCUCAAAUAUCCCCAAGGGGAGUGGGCUAAAAGCAUCACCGAUACUCAGAAGCUUCCUGUCUCUCAGUACCAACAUGGCUUUACUCAGAUUUACUAUUGACUCAACUACUGUGGGAGAAGACAGUAGCAUGGUCUGGAAACCACCUGAACUACUGGGUUCAAAGCAUAGAGACCAGCAGUGUAAAUCCCAGAUGGAGGCCAGUGACUGGUGGUAUGCCCCAGGUCGUGAUACUGAGGCCAAAUUAACAUCUCCACUAGUGAUGUGGACAACAGGACAGCAUGUACCCUCAGCAAAUUUGCAGAAACAUGACUUGGAGGAGCGAUUGAUACAGUGGAGGAUUGAGGUGUCAUUCAGAGAGACCUGAACAGGCUGAAGAAAUGAGUAGACAGGAAUGUAACCAAGUUCAAAGGGAAAUGCAAAGCCCUGCACCUGGGAAGGAAUAACCCCAUGCAGCAGUACAGGCUGGAGGCUAACUGUCCUGAAAGCAGCUUUGCAGAAAAAGACCUGGAGGUCCUGGUGGUCAGAAAGCUGACCGCAGGCCAGUGAUACAUACUUGUGGCAAAGAAGGUCGAAACCAUCUUUGGCUGCAUUAGGAAAAGCAUUGCAAGCAGUCAAGGGAGGUGAUCCUUCCCCUCUACUCUGCCUUGGUGAGACACAUCUGGAGUGCUGUGCUCAGUUCUGGGCUCCCCAGGGUGAGACAGGUGCACAGAUGUGCUGCAGUGAGCUUAGCAAAAGGCCAUGAAGGUGAAAGGAUGAGAACAUCUGACUUGAGGGGUGGUUGACAUUUCUGGGCACAUAGAGAAAUAAAAGACAUUCUAUUCAAACAAUACUUCUUUACCGAGAGGGUGGUUGAACAAUGGCAAUUACCCACAGAGCCUGUGGGUUUUCCAUCCUUGAGGAUGUUCAAAACCCAACCAGAUGCAGUCCUGUGCAAUCUGCUCUAGCUGGGCUUGCUUGAGCAGGAGGUUAGACUAGAAGGUUUCCAGAGAUCCCUGCCCUGUUUUGGUUUUCAUCACAUGAUAUUAAUAAACACAGUAACUCCUUUUGCUGGAACAAAUGUCUUUAAUUAAAAAGCCUGAGAUCAAAACUACCUAUAUUUUAAUCUCUAAAUCACGCUUUUCUUUGCAAAAUAGAAGAAACUGAGGGUUAGAAGGUCUUUACAGUGAAGUAUACAUGCAUCCACAUAAACAUGAGAGUUCUUGCUACUAAAUUUGCUGUGAUGUGCCACUGCAUGGUUAAAGGCAGAAUAAAUUUACUAUCUCUCAACACUAAAGAACGAAGAGAAAAAUCCCAAACAAUAAAAAAGCCAAAAAUGUUUUCCUCUCCCUUCUCUUUCUGUUCUUCUCCUGUGAAAAUAUUAAUCCAUACAAUCAUUUUGUGUUCAGAAUUCCAUCUCCCUUUCUCUCCUCUAAUCCUUUAUCUGUUUUCUUUCCUGAAAAAUCUUCAUUAGGACCUACCUAGGCUGACUGGUGAGAAGCUAAUCAGGAAACUUUAUCUGUGAGCUCUGGCAUUCACUUUAGUUAAUUGAAAUCUUUCAGGUCUAACAAAUCCACUUUUAUAUCUCAAACUAGCUAGGAGAAAGCCAUAAAAGCAUCUUUGCACAAUAAGAAGAGCUAAACGUUAAGUCUGACAGGAUUUGAAAUGAAUUAAAAAAAAAAAAAAAAAAGCUGGAAAGAAGUUUAAAGUAGCCUCCAAGUAUCAGUGUGUCAUAUUACUUAGUGUGACAUGAGUACUUAGUUAUACUUCGUAUGAAUACGUGGCCCUGGAGAGAUGGGAGCACUCAUUUAUUAUACUGGGGAGCUGUAGCUAAACCUCACGCUUUCCACGGCAAUAGACAGCCUUUCACUACAGUAAUAUUCUUCUGUCACGAAGUAGGCAGCUUUCUACUUUAUUGCAAGAUUCACUGGAUUUGCAGUAAUUUCUCUCUUUGAACAUCUAAGUACUAAUUUACAAAGGCUCUCUCAGAACAUCAUCCUUGGCACAUCAUCUUUUUAGCAGAACAACUUCUAAGAAUUGGCUGCUCUGGUCUAUCUCUAGUUGGAGCACUGGAAGUUGAGGAUAUCCACAGUAAUAAGAGGUAGAAAAUUGCCAUGUUAAAAUUCAAACUGAUGCCUACUUACUUCAGAUUCCUGCCUGAGCAAAUGCUUCUGUGGAUGAGACUGGAAUCUUUGCUCAAAUAAAAGUAAUUUUUGAAAGGUUAAUGUUUUAAAGGUUCAGGCUGAAACAAUAGCUGGUCAACCAAGAAACUAUAACAAUCCCUUCUCAUUUGAAUGUCUUUUUUUGGGUUAAGAUUUGGCAUGCAGUAGGCAAUGUUUGCCACUUUGAAGUAACUCGGAGCUCAGGUACUCGCCAGUCUUACCAGACCAUGCUUCCCUCCCUCCCCUCCAACAGAGCAGCUCUUCAGGUGUUUUACCUGUUCUUCUAGGCGCUAUUCCACUGGGACAAGGGAAGGAAAAGGAGUUGCCUCUUUGCUAGAAGAGCUCAGCCAGUGUAGUUGGGCUCUUCUGCUCAGGCACCUUUCUGCCAAACUAAUGACACUGAACUUCACAUUGGUCAAGUGGACAGGAGUAGGAUAUAACAACAGGUUUACUGUGGGUAACUAAAUACAGACAAGUGAGAUUUACCCUGUUCUUAUCUAUGGCAACCAGCAGUAUUCACAAAUUUUUUUCCCACUAAGUAGUCUUACUGUACAUAAUCUGGUACUUAGACUUCUGUACACAAGACCUUUUAAACUGGUGACUGUCUUCUAAUCACUUUGUUACCAACUAUUAACAUUCCGAGUGCCACAAUAUCUCAAAGUUUCUUUCCUAGGGUUCCUAUGAUUGUAUGUCUUAUGUUUCUUUUUAAUUUAGAAAUUUAAUUGCAGAGAAAAGUUAAAAAAAUUAGCUUUAAAAAUCUCAAAGGAAAAUUAUGAAACUGCGUCACAAGGGGCUUCCUUUAAAAUCAGCAUUUUUAAGCAAGUCUCAGCAUUUUGAAUGUCUGGUUUCAACAAUAUUGCUUAGCUGUACAGCAUAAGAAAAUUGAGUUUCUCUAGAACCAGCUCGAUAGUUCAUGUUUCAACACACAUUUUAAUUAUUAACUAACACGGUUUGGGAACAUAGGUCACUUAAGUUUCUAAUUUUAUUUUUUGUAAAAAAAUAACAUAUUCAAGGUUCUGAUAUGCCUACUAUAAAAAUUAAGGCUUAGCCCUAUGAAGUAGUUAGUUCAUCAGAUUUUUUGGCGGAAGCAGCAGAAACCUGUUUCUCUCCUCGUGUUACUGUUGAACUUAUAUACCCGCUCAUGUAAGAAUGCAAGAAUCUCUUCUCAUCCACACCUUCAGCUCAGAGCCUAUGAAGAAAGAAGACAUCCUUAGGCUUGGCUGUGGUGGGUGAAGUCAGAGCCAAGCAGGGCUGGUGCAGCCCACGCUGAGGGGUGCACAGAGCUACCAGCGCUUCCCUGGAGCGCCUGGCUCCUCUCGGCGCUGCUUGUCAUGCUGGUGUCAGAGCCCUGUAGCGCUGGCAUCGGCGAUGGAGAUUCAAAAGGCAAAAGGGGGAGAAGGGAAGAAGAGAUCCUCUAUUUAUUCUUCCAUUAAUUUGAAAGAUAUACUCAUUUUGCCAAUUCUACAUUAUAAACAAAACUAAAUGCACUUCCCACUGAACUCUGGAGAGCUGUAAACUACUAAUAUUUCAAACCUACAACUCACAGUGCAGUGAGCGCAGUGGAAAAAAUAUAUCUGAUGAAACAAGUUUUAGAAAAGUCAAAUAUCAUUGUUUCCAUGUAGAGAAAGAAAAGCACCAGCAGAAAUAAAGGAGCUUGCCCCUGCAAUAGUUAUGGGCCAAGAGCUGAGGUAUGUCUUCUUGUAGUCUAACUUUAUACAUAUAUUGCAAGAGCUUGGGGCACUGUCAGGCUUCUCAGGGCAGGACAUUAAUCUCUCUGCCUUAAAGCUGUACAUCAGCAGUAUCAAGUUUCCUUUGCACCCUAGUGUGCUCUUGGGGAAAGACACGCAGGUUGUUAAAAACUGAGGUCAGAAUAACGUGAUGUUUAAAUGUUGGGGGGAAAAGGCAUCUCACACUACAGCUUUUCUGGAGGCAUUAUUAUCCUCCAUUUCUUAGUAAGACUUUAUUCUUGUUUCACGCGAUUAACAUUUUCAAACUGCCACAGCAAGCUUCAAUAAAUGUAGCACCAGUAACCAGCAAACCAGCCUCCAAUUUAAGCUUAUUUAUUUCCCAGAGUAAUAUCUCCUACUACAGGACCUAGUGCAGAGCAAUAGCAAUUUCUAUUCAUAAUAAAUGUUUCUGUAAACUAAUGUCUAUAUGUGGGGAUGUUUUGGUGCCUGUCUCCCCUUGCCUCUGUUCUUCCCUUUCUUAUCUUUAGCUCAGAGUAUCUGUAGACCAUACCAUAGCUUUUAAGAAAAUAUCAAAACAGGGUAUGUUAAAAUUGGUGGUAGAAAUGUAUGUGUGGAGGGAGAAAACCAUCUACAGUAAGCUGAUUUAAGCAAUCCUUUUGUAAAAAAUCAUUUUUUCAUUCUACUCCAACUCCAGCCCUAUAUCUUGGACAGAUUUUUUUUCUCAACAGAUAGUAGUAAACAAAAAAUACAAAGAUUUUUUUUUAAAGCAAAAUUUUACACAGCAAGCUCACUAAGUGGAAAAAACGUACUUGUAACUUACACUCAAGUAGCAUCAAGUGGCCUUUUAAUACACAUUUGAUUAAGCGUAUUGCUUUUUUUUUUUAAGAAAGAAUAACUGUUCCACCACACAUGUAUGCAAUUCGAAAGCUAAUGUACAUAUAUUGAUGGGAAAACCUUGGAUGACUACAUGCCACAGCAACUCUUAUUUGUAAUAAUGCUACUACGGGCUUUUUCCUCUUAGACAACUGGUUGAAGCAGGUGGCUACCAGCACACUUACAAAGAUUAUCAAAAUUAUGGACUUCUUCCAUAGUGAAAAACUGAGUGACAGCCUUCUGACACCACUAAUGGCAUUUGAGUUCACUUCCUCCAGUCUUUAUAGAUGCAGAACACAACCAGCUUGCUGAAUGAGAGGGUUUGGUUUCUGAACCUCUUCAGCACUGUCUAAGACAAAAAGUUGCCAAAAGCUUGAAACUUAAAAAAGCAACAAACAAACCAAAACCAGAACAAAACCCCUUGUGAUAUUGUGUGUGUCUCUCUUCUUUGGAAAGAGAAGUGUAAUAUGAGCUGGAGAAAAGCAAGAGUUCACACCGUUACUAGCACUAUGUUGAUCAGAUUCUAAUUAAAUUUUCUGUAGAACUGCAUACCUAAAAAUAAAAAAAAGCCAAUGCAAAUUAAA